CUGGGUGUGGCGCAGAUGGUAGCGCGCAAGAAUGGGGUUCUUGAGGCCGCUGGUUCAAGUCCAGUCACCCAGACCA
This 76-nucleotide transfer RNA is filed under the name Caloramator proteoclasticus DSM 10124. RNAcentral describes it as "tRNA_Pro_GGG". It matches the Rfam family "tRNA". Rfam says of the family: Transfer RNA (tRNA) molecules are approximately 80 nucleotides in length. Their secondary structure includes four short double-helical elements and three loops (D, anti-codon, and T loops). The record is from RNAcentral. Lineage: Bacteria; Bacillati; Bacillota; Clostridia; Eubacteriales; Clostridiaceae. RNAcentral also lists the same sequence under 2 other names.